Molecule: ribosomal RNA, 662 nt
Filed under: uncultured bacterium
Lineage: Bacteria
Description: bacterial SSU rRNA
Rfam family: Bacterial small subunit ribosomal RNA
Source: RNAcentral
CGGACGGGUGAGUAACGCGUGAGAAUCUGCCUUCAGGUCGGGGACAACCACUGGAAACGGUGGCUAAUACCCGAUGUGCGCAACGUGAAAGAUUUAUCGCCUGAAGAGGAGCUCGCGUCUGAUUAGCUAGUUGGUGGGGUAAAAGCUCACCAAGGCGACGAUCAGUAGCUGGUCUGAGAGGAUGAUCAGCCACACUGGGACUGAGACACGGCCCAGACUCCUACGGGAGGCAGCAGUGGGGAAUUUUCCGCAAUGGGCGAAAGCCUGACGGAGCAAGACCGCGUGAGGGAGGAAGGCUCUUGGGUUGUAAACCUCUUUUCUCAGGGAAGAACAAAAUGACGGUACCUGAGGAAUCAGCCUCGGCUAACUCCGUGCCAGCAGCCGCGGUAAUACGGAGGAGGCAAGCGUUAUCCGGAAUUAUUGGGCGUAAAGCGUCCGCAGGUGGCACUUCAAGUCUGUCGUCAAAGACUGGGGCUUAACCCUGGAAGGGCGGUGGAAACUGAAGCGCUAGAGUGUGGUAGGGGUAGAGGGAAUUCCCGGUGUAACGGUGAAAUGCGUAGAGAUCGGGAAGAACAUCGGUGGCGAAAGCGCUCUACUGGACCACAACUGACACUCAGGGACGAAAGCUAGGGGAGCGAAUGGGAUUAGAUACCCCAGUAGUC